AGCGAACGCUGGCGGCAGGCUUAACACAUGCAAGUCGAGCGGGCCUUUCGGGGUCAGCGGCGGACGGGUGAGUAACGCGUGGGAACGUGCCCUCUGGUUCGGAAUAACUCAGGGAAACUUGAGCUAAUACCGGAUACGCCCUUUUGGGGAAAGGCUUGCUGCCGGAGGAUCGGCCCGCGUCUGAUUAGCUAGUUGGUGAGGUAACGGCUCACCAAGGCGACGAUCAGUAGCUGGUCUGAGAGGAUGAUCAGCCACACUGGGACUGAGACACGGCCCAGACUCCUACGGGAGGCAGCAGUGGGGAAUAUUGGACAAUAGGCGCAAGCCUGAUCCAGCCAUGCCGCGUGAGUGAUGAAGGCCUUAGGGUUGUAAAGCUCUUUUAUCCGGGACGAUACUGACGGUACCGGAGGAAUAAGCCCCGGCUAACUUCGUG
RNAcentral lists this ribosomal RNA (433 nucleotides) under uncultured bacterium. RNAcentral's name for it is "partial 16S ribosomal RNA". It matches the Rfam family "Bacterial small subunit ribosomal RNA", at positions 29 to 507 of the family's 1533-position model. The record is from RNAcentral.